This 122-nucleotide unclassified non-coding RNA is filed under the name uncultured Agaricomycetes. RNAcentral's name for it is "sequence contains ITS1". The record is from RNAcentral. Lineage: Eukaryota; Fungi; Basidiomycota; Agaricomycetes.
CAAAUCUUUUGCGAGUGCUGCGUACUUAACCGUGCCUAGCAUCUCACAACAUUAGCACAAGGUUGCAAGACCUUGAUGUUUACGCUUGUUUGUUUGACAGAGUUAGUUGAGACUAAAAAAGA